Molecule: long non-coding RNA, 4372 nt
Filed under: Sarcophilus harrisii (Tasmanian devil)
Lineage: Eukaryota; Metazoa; Chordata; Mammalia; Dasyuromorphia; Dasyuridae
Description: lncRNA (ENSSHAG00000022002.1)
Source: RNAcentral
UCAGGUAUAGAUUUGUUUCUCUCACUAUACCAUUAUUUUAAAAUUUAACAGUUUCAACUCGAUUGAGUAUGGAAAUCAAUCUUUACAGCUUCCCGUGCUUUGCUCCUGUGAAAUAAACAUCUCACCAAAAACAUAAAAUGUAGUAAUACCUUAAAAUUACAAAAGAACUAUCUAAAUGCCUAAUUAGUAAGUUAGAAAAUUCUUAUAUGUUUUACUCAAAAUGGGGGAGGAAUUUUAUUCAUAUAAGAAAUAUAUUUCUAAAGAAAGUAACUUUUCAUUUAAAUAUCAAUUUAGACUUGAAACCAGAAUCGGAAUUUAAAGGAUCAUCAGACAGAAGCAAAGAAAGUUUUGCUAAAAGAUAUCUGGGACAGAAAGGAAGGAGGAAAACCUUCCAGGAGAGAGGAUAGGCAGAAGAAAGUAAGGAUGCUUGCAAGUAAUGUAAACUUUGAUGUUUAACUAAAAUAGAAGACCUGUCAUAAGAACAUAAAUUAUUUUCUGAAGGAAAGAUAGUGUGGAGAAUCACUGUCAUUUCUUAUGCAGUAUAAUAAUCAUUUGAAACAUAUUUUAAGAAAGCUCUUUGAAAAAAUGAUUUGUAAUAUAUUAUGAAAUAGAAUCAUGACAAUCAUAAGGAUAAUAUCCUGAGUUAGAAUUUUAUCAUUACUUACAAGUUUAUCCUUUUCUGUAUGAAAAAAGUAUAUCCCAGGCUUCAGCACUCUGUUUGCCAGAGUUGUCUCUCUCUAAAGAAAAAAAGAUCGAAGAGUAAACUUGGAAUGUGUAAGCAAGAGGUUCUUCUUUUGAAGAAAAUGUUAUAAAAACAUUUUGUUUCCUGUAGAAACCUAAUUUCCCUCAAAGUGGAAAUUCUUCACAAUUUAUCAGCAGAAAACUUUCAGGAUGGCUUUCAUCAGUGGUCUUGCUAACUAUUUUGUUGUUUUCACUGAUCAGCAUGCUCCUAGAAGUAUUCUGGAAAGAGUGACAAGAUUUAUACGUGCAUGGAGAAAUAAAAAGAUCAAAUGCAGUAUUUCUUUGGGACAACAUGAAGGUCACCAGAGGAGAAAUUCUAAUGGGAAGCCUAUUCAACCCACUCUUCAAAUGAAAGGUUUUUUCACAAACCAAGAAGUAGGAAAAGGAGUUGAAAAACGAAAAGUUGAUGCUUCGAAAUGGGAUUCUCCAAGUACGUCUCAGAAAAAUGAGAGUCCCAGAAAUUCCAAUGAUUUGACAUUUCAAAAGAAUUAUUCUUGCAAGUCACUGCAAAGUAAAGAUCAGUUAGCACCCACAGAAUUUGGAAAGAUUGCAAUAAAAGAAAAUGAAGCAUCUGCAGCUGAAGCUGGAAGUGGGCCUGACACUGGCUCGAAAGUUGGAGUUCAAAUAGAAAAAUCAGUCCCUCAGAAGCAGUGUGAACCACCUCUAGGAAAAGAGAAUCAGAAAGAAGGAAAGAAAGGAUAAAGUUACUUUAGAAACAACCAGCAUACCAGAACAAAUGGCACCUAAGGAACAAGUUAAGUCUCUUUCUGCUCCAUUUUUGAACAAGAAAAGAACGCCUGAAGUACUAGAAUCCAGUAGCAAAUCUCCUGGUGAUGACAUACAUUCAAGUCCAGAAACUAAAUGGAAAAAAACUUGUAAAAAAACAUGGAUUGAGGAGGAAAAGGAAGUUUGUGGUGAAAUCUAUGAAAAGGGUAAUGUUGCUACUCCGACAAAAGACAACCUCCACGAAGAUGACUUUAAAGAAUCAAAAAAAAUACUAGAAACAUCUCCUACUUUGGCAAAAAAAUUAAGGGAUUCUGUGGAAAAGGAGAAACAUAAAUGCCCUGUCAGGGUAAGAAUCCUUAAAUCAUUUGCUGGGCAAACGGAACAAGAUCGGCCUUUCCACAAAAAUGUUCCUGUGUUUCCUACCAAUGUGUGCUCACAAAAAAGCACCCUGCAACUUAAGAAUGAUAAUGAGCCAGAAAUUGAAUGUACUUAUGUUGCAAAAAAGCCUGAACUUAUACCUCCAAGAAAAUGUAAGGAGAAAACAAAACGUAAAACAAUCUUGUUUGAAAAUAGUCAUCACAGCGUCAGUAACUCUACAGAUGAGUUAAACCGUUGGAGACCCUCCCUUCCUUAUAGGGAGAAAAUCGCAAAAAUGGACAUAGAUUCCUCAUUAAAACAAUGUACACAAAGAAUUAAAAUUCAAUUUGAAAUAAUACAAGCAAAAUCCCCGACUUUGGAGAAAGAAAAAAUACCACCACAAAAAGAGGUAGAUUCACCUUCUGCCACUCUAUAUUCUAUUUAAUUUUCCUCUUCAUCAAUCAUCCUGUGAAAUUGAUUUUUCACUUCCAAUGCUUGCUAUUUGUACAACAUGUUUUGAAAACUGCCUUAAGGAAAAUACCCAGAAAGCCUUUUUGAUAGUUUUUAUUUUGGUCAUCUAAAUUACCCCACUUUCUAAAUGAGACAUACAAAUUGUAAUAUUAGACUAGAUAGCCAAAAGAACAAGGAUAAGCCUAAAGAUAAUUAAGAAAGAGUCCUAAAAGAAAUAUAAUGAACUCAGAUUCUCUUUUAUGCAAAUCCUUGUAAUAUAUGACAUUUGAAAGAAUUUUGCUUUCUAUGGACAUUUUUAUCUUCUUAACUAAAUGUAAGGUGUUGUGACUUAAAAUACUGAAAAUAUAAGAUAAUUUGGGAAAUUUCUAACAAAUGUAUAUGAUGCAGGUAAUACUUUUAUGGUCAUCUGAUACUUCAUCUUUACUGAUUUUACUAAAAUCAUUACUUUUUUGCAUUUCAAAACAAAGUUAAACACAAUUUUGCUAAUUGAUCAUCUAAAAUCAGUUUUCAUUGGGCAUUAAUAUGCUAUUUCUCCAUUUAUCCCACUAGUAAUAAAUUAUAGGAUUGGUAUUUAAACCUCAAUCUUCUGCCUUCAAGUUCAGUGCUCUUCUUCUUGUAUUUAGUUUUUCAAACUAUGUUUUUAUUCGCUAUAGAUAUUUGCAUAAUUGACUAGCUGUAGAUAUUGUUAUACUAGCACUGUUAAUUCGUUGAAUUUUAUUUUGGGGGGAAGGAGCAUUGACAGUCAUUGAGUCAAGCCCCAUUAUCUUAUGAAUGAGAAAUUUUAGGCUCAGGAAAGUUAGAUUGCAUGGCCAGGGUCUUUUGGCUCCUCUAUACCUUAACAUGCCUGUCUUAUAAUUAUCUUUUCACAAUAAUAGCUGAGCAUAUAAUACAGGAGAGUGUAUACAAAUCCAAAGACACUUAGACUUAGAUUUAAGAGCUUCUUGUAAUACAGACUAGUUAUGUUAACCUGGGCAAAUCCAUUGACCUUACCAGGCAAUUGAUACUAGGAGCAGAGGCUGAUCUGACUUUGUGGAGGGAGUUUCCUCACUUGAAGUUACUCACACUGAUAAACUCACAGGUUCUGUCCAAAAACAAUGAGAAUAAUAUUUGUAUAACUCUCAAAUUACAAAGUCAUCUCAUUUGAUCUUCAUUACUAUUCCUUAUAAAGGGGUGUCACCCAUAUUUGUGGACCAGGCAAAAGAAGCUCAGCCAAUACAAAUGACUUUGAAAAAUGGUCAAUUGGGUUACUUAAUGUAUCUGUGCUUCAGGUUCCUAAUCUACAAAAUGAUAGCAUUACACUAAGAUUUUUUUUCCUAUUUUUUUUUUUUUGUGCUUCUGGGAAUAUGAAAAGGGAAUAGCAUUGAUUUUCCAUAAGGUAGCAGUCACAGUGCCUAAAUCUCACUCUACUCAAUUUCCUAUGUUGUUAAUCCAGUAUUUCAGUGACUACUUCAAGUUUUAUUGUUUGUUUUUUGCUUUGGUUUAUUUUUUUAACUUUACAGUAAGAAAUAAGAAAUGAGAAAUGGAAUGGGAAACCCCUAUCAUGUGGUUGUACAUAAAAUUGGUCUGUCUUUGCAUUGUGGGAACAUGGUAGAAAAGGCCAAAAAUAAAUCAGAUAUUGUAUCUUUACCCUGUCUGCUUUUUAAAGGAGAGAGAGAAGAGAACUUGAAAGUAGAAUGAGAAAACAAAAUGAGAUAGAAAUUGAGCUAUCAUUUUGACAUUUGAGUCGAUAUUUCAACUUUCAAACAAAAUUUAUAAAACUAUGACCAUUUUAUAUCCAAAUAAAAAGUGAAGAUGAUAUAGAGGAUAACAUGUAUUUCAAAAUAAAAUUGAAAAAUGAAAGGCAGUGUGGCAUAUUUCAUAGGAAGCUAAGAAUAUUUAGUUCAAGUCCCAUUUCUGACAUAUGUAGACAAGUCACUUAAUACUUAUAUUCUAGAUUUUCGUAACAUUGGUAGAGGGAAUUUUCUCUUCAGGUAGUUCCUUGUACUAGUUAAACCACAAGUCUAGUUCUUAACCCAAGUAAGUAUGUAAAUAUAUAUGUAUAAAAGUGUGCAUGUAUACACACACACACACACACACA